CCUACGGGGGGCAGCAGUGAGGAAUAUUGGUCAAUGGGCGGGAGCCUGAACCAGCCAAGUCGCGUGAGGGAAGACGGUCCUAUGGAUUGUAAACCUCUUUAGGCGGGGAGCAAUGCCGGGCACGCGUGCCCGGAGGGAGAGUACCCGCAGAAUAAGCAUCGGCUAACUCCGUGCCAGCAGCCGCGGUAAUACGGAGGAUGCGAGCGUUAUCCGGAUUUAUUGGGUUUAAAGGGAGCGUAGAUGGGUUGUUAAGUCAGUUGUGAAAGUUUGCGGCUCAACCGUAAAAUUGCAAUUGAUACUGGCAGUCUUGAGUACAGUUGAGGUAGGCGGAAUUCGUGGUGUAGCGGUGAAAUGCUUAGAUAUCACGAAGAACACCGAUUGCGAAGGCAGCUUACCAAUCUAUAUCUGACGUUGAGGCACGAAAGCGUGGGGAGCAAACAGGAUUAGAUACCCUUGUAGUC
RNAcentral lists this ribosomal RNA (461 nucleotides) under uncultured bacterium. RNAcentral's name for it is "partial 16S ribosomal RNA". It matches the Rfam family "Bacterial small subunit ribosomal RNA", at positions 338 to 795 of the family's 1533-position model. The record is from RNAcentral.